GCAGUUAGCUCAGUUUGGUUAGAGCAUCUGGUUUACACCCAGAAGGUCACAGGUUCGAGUCCUGUACUGCCC
Molecule: transfer RNA, 72 nt
Filed under: bovine gut metagenome
Rfam family: tRNA
About the family: Transfer RNA (tRNA) molecules are approximately 80 nucleotides in length. Their secondary structure includes four short double-helical elements and three loops (D, anti-codon, and T loops).
Source: RNAcentral